GAUGAACGCUGGCGGCGUGCUUAACACAUGCAAGUCGAACGAUGAAGCUCAGCUUGCUGGGUGGAUUAGUGGCGAACGGGUGAGUAACACGUGAGUAACCUGCCCUUAACUCUGGGAUAAGCCUGGGAAACUAGGUCUAAUACCGGAUAGGAGCGCCUACCGCAUGGUGGGUGUUGGAAAGAUUUAUCGGUUUUGGAUGGACGCGCGGCCUAUCAGCUUGUUGGUGAGGGAAUGGCUGACCAAGGCGACGGCGGGUAGCCGGCCUGGGAGGGUGACCGGCCACACUGGGACUGAGACACGGACCAGACUCCUACGUGAGGCAGCAGUGGGGAAUAUUGCACAAUGGGCGAAAGCCUGAUGCAGCGACGCCGCGUGAGGGAUGACGGCCUUCGGGUUGUAAACCUCUUUCAGUAGGGAAGAAGCGAAAGUGACGGUACCUGCAGAAGAAGCACCGGCUAACUACGUG
RNAcentral lists this ribosomal RNA (466 nucleotides) under uncultured bacterium. RNAcentral describes it as "partial 16S ribosomal RNA". It matches the Rfam family "Bacterial small subunit ribosomal RNA", at positions 28 to 507 of the family's 1533-position model. The record is from RNAcentral.